Long non-coding RNA from Tympanuchus pallidicinctus (lesser prairie-chicken), 1972 nucleotides. RefSeq lists it as uncharacterized. The transcript has 4 exons. The record is from RefSeq and is a predicted model, not a curated record. NCBI's taxonomy places the organism in Eukaryota, Metazoa, Chordata, Aves, Galliformes, Phasianidae.
AGUGAUAGGUCAUGGCCUCGAGUGGCACCGGGGGAGGUUCAGCUUGGGCAUCAGGAAAAAAUUGUUCUUGCACCCGCACAGGCUGCCCAGGGAGUGGUGGGAUCAGCAUCCUGGAGGUGUUCCAGAACCACGGGCAUGUGGUGGUCUGGGGUUGGAUUUGAGGAUCUGAAAGGUAUUUUCCAACUGCCAUGGCCCUGUGAUUGUAUUCCUGUGUUUUCUUCUGGAAGGUUGGUACUUAGUCUGGAAACAAUUUUUGCUAGCUCCACACCCAGAUCCCUUUGGAAGCAAGCGAUAGAUUCUGAUUUCUUACAGUGAAGAUGGUCGCAGAGGAGAGCUAAGAAGGCAAAGUCCUUGAGCUGCUCUUGGCUCCAAAAGGGGGUCAAUAAUCAUCCACGUGUGCACAGCACUGCAGGAGGAGGCUGUGCAUUACUAAUUAUCUCUACCUCUUCUAAGCUGGAUAAAAGCUUUGCAGCCAGCGUUCUGAGUGGUGAUGGAAAUAGGAAUCUGCUGAUGCCUUUUGGGCUGGCUGAGGGAAAUCAGCACUGCUGCAGGAAAAAAAACAAACACGUUUCAAAUGCUGAUUGGAUUUCCUCACAGAAAUGACUAAAUCUCCUCAAUGGACAGGUAUUGACUUCUCUCUCUGGGUAUCAGAAAGUGCUGCUCCCAACCCUGCGAGCAGCAGCCAUGCUGGGAGCAGCCACCAGGAGCAGUGAUUGUUGGCUUCACCCUGGACAGAGAAAAAGGAGGGAUCGUAAAUCAUAGAAUGGCUUGGGUUGGAAGGGACCUCAAGGAUCAUGAAGCUCCAACCCCCCUGAUACAUGCAGGGCUGCCAACCUCCAUAUCUAACACUAGACCAGGCUGCCCUGGGUCCCAUCCAACCUGGCCUUGAACACCUCCAGGGAUGGAGCAUCCACAGCCUCUCUGGGCAGCUGCUCCAGCACCUCACCACUCUCAUAGUAUAUAAAAGAAGGAAGGAAGAUCCCAAAGCCACCAUGUUGGUAUCAACACAAAUGUGAUGGGAAAAAUCCUCUUUUAAAAUGUUCACCUGCUGUAAAAGAGCAUCCUUCAGUUUCACCAUCUGAGCGAGCUGUCUGCUGUCUCCUCGGACAUCCUCAGGCACAAGUUGUGCUGCUCCCAAAUAUCACUGUAAUGUAUUUGCUACCCAGACACACAAACGCCUCAUGGCAGAACUCAUUUCAUCUCAGUAGAGAAGAAGUGAUGUUCAGCAGUAUUCCCACUUGCUGUACCCACAUGGGACUUGCCAGGUGCUCAGGCCCAGGGCUGGGUUUGCUUCUUGAAACCCUUAGAAAAAAAAUAGUGCUGUCCAUUGCAGUAAAGUAAGAAGUUAAAAAAACAAAAAAACAAAACUUGGAAAACAUACAGAUGUUUUUUUCAUUUUCCUUUAACCUUGAGGGUUAAAAGGUAUAAUUGCCCUGAAAGAUGACUGUUACAAGACUUUAAUCUUUAAAACAACAUCAUCAGACAUCAAGUAGCUGCUACCAUUCCUGACUGAACACUUCAAGCUGGAUGGUCAGAUAGAGCUUGUUGAAGAGCAGGGAAAAAGCUUUCUGGUCUUGUGUGAAGCAGUCACUGCUUUUCAAUUUAUUAUUAUUUUUUUUUCUAUUUAAUGAAAUGUGACUUAGAGCUUCUUCAAAGCAUAUAAUGUUUAGAACAAAUCCUGGAGGUGGAGAUAGAGGGAAGAGCUGGCAGAGCAGGCUUUCAUUUACUGCAAUUUCUGUAACAAUUAUAAAGACAAGUCGUCUCGAAUACUUAAAGACAUCCCCAGAAACCUUUAAAUUUAGAUUCCAAAUGUAAGAAUCCGAGACAAAUGUCUUUGAAGUUAUUAAAUUAGCUGCUGCUGUAAUGUUACGUAUUGUCACGCCUUCGUCCAAUGACUCUCACUUUAAAGACUUUAUUGUGUUUUUAACCUGAGAUAAAUUUCCUGUUAUAAAAAUGAUGCCUAUAUCUGUUA